AUCCGGGUUGCGGACAGUGUCUGGUGGGUAGUUUGACUGGGGCGGUCUCCUCCUAAAGAGUAACGGAGGAGCACGAAGGUUAGCUAAUCCUGGUCGGACAUCAGGAGGUUAGUGCAAAGGCAUAAGCUAGCUUGACUGCGAGAGUGACGGCUCGAGCAGGUGCGAAAGCAGGUCUUAGUGAUCCGGUGGUUCUGAAUGGAAGGGCCAUCGCUCAACGGAUAAAAGGUACUCCGGGGAUAACAGGCUGAUACCGCCCAAGAGUUCAUAUCGACGGCGGUGUUUGGCACCUCGAUGUCGGCUCAUCACAUCCUGGGGCUGAAGUAGGUCCCAAGGGUAUGGCUGUUCGCCAUUUAAAGUGGUACGCGAGCUGGGUUUAGAACGUCGUGAGACAGUUCGGUCCCUAUCUGCCGUGGGCGCUGGAGAAUUGAGGGGGGCUGCUCCUAGUACGAGAGGACCGGAGUGGACGCAUCACUGGUGUUCGGGUUGUCAUGCCAAUGGCAUUGCCCGGUAGCUAAAUGCGGAAGAGAUAAGUGCUGAAAGCAUCUAAGCACGAAACUUGCCCCGAGAUGAGUUCUCCCUGA
RNAcentral lists this ribosomal RNA (581 nucleotides) under Citrobacter freundii. Its description in RNAcentral is "bacterial LSU rRNA". It matches the Rfam family "Bacterial large subunit ribosomal RNA", at positions 2238 to 2818 of the family's 2925-position model. The record is from RNAcentral. RNAcentral also lists the same sequence under 1 other name. Lineage: Bacteria; Pseudomonadati; Pseudomonadota; Gammaproteobacteria; Enterobacterales; Enterobacteriaceae.